GGAAGCGUUCCCGAGUGGCCAAAGGGGGCAGACUGUAAAUCUGUUGCAUCUUUGCUUCGGUGGUCCGAAUCCACCCGCUUCCACCA
RNAcentral lists this transfer RNA (86 nucleotides) under Ruminiclostridium sp. Its description in RNAcentral is "tRNA-Tyr". It matches the Rfam family "tRNA". Rfam says of the family: Transfer RNA (tRNA) molecules are approximately 80 nucleotides in length. Their secondary structure includes four short double-helical elements and three loops (D, anti-codon, and T loops). The record is from RNAcentral. RNAcentral also lists the same sequence under 1 other name. Lineage: Bacteria; Bacillati; Bacillota; Clostridia; Eubacteriales; Oscillospiraceae.